Molecule: long non-coding RNA, 749 nt
Filed under: Chinchilla lanigera (long-tailed chinchilla)
Lineage: Eukaryota; Metazoa; Chordata; Mammalia; Rodentia; Chinchillidae
Description: lncRNA (ENSCLAG00000026394.1)
Source: RNAcentral
UGAGAAGACCAUCCACCACACAAAGUGCGGUCCAGGCAGUUACGGCACCUACUCAUGGUGAAGAUACCGCACAGAGCUAUUCCCAGCGGCGUCAGAGCCGGCUGUCGCCCAUUCUCCCUUCCCUUUUCUUGGGAGUUGGCUAUGAGCUAUGAACCACCAACAAGCCUUCCCUGCCAACACCAGCUCUUCAGUCAGCAGAGGUCUUCACCUGCUAGUUCCUGUGCACCUCUGCCCAGUGACUAUCACAACACCAGCACAGGGAAGGUGCACUAUUUCGGAAAACUGGGCAGUACUGUGUUUGGGACAAACGCUCUUGGAUCUUUCAGCACAAGUAGCAGAUUAUCAGCACGUUAGUUAACUUGUGAGGCUCCCUCUGGAUGUUCCUCAGAUGCCCAUGGGAUUUGGGUGACAUUAUCGCUCCAAUGUCAGCCUGACAAGUCAAGUCAGUGAUGGGCCUCAGCCUUACUUUCCACCCCAACACAGCAAUAAGGCAGAGAAAGAUGGAUUAUAAACCACUGAUUCUGAACCAGAUAAAUGGGUUGAAAAUACACCGGGCUACUACUCUAUUUGUCCCCAAAGCCAAACUUACCUAACACAUAACACAAGUAGUCCCAUUCAACUGCAUCAAAGGACUUCUUGGCAUCUAAUAAAAUGUAGCUAUGGGCUCCAAUUUUCUCUUUGUAUUCCAGAUGAGUUGAUUUAGUCUAUGCAAAUGACCUGAUACUCCUCUCGCAGGAAUAAAGCUUUCU